Molecule: long non-coding RNA, 2095 nt
Organism: Harmonia axyridis
Lineage: Eukaryota; Metazoa; Arthropoda; Insecta; Coleoptera; Coccinellidae
Exons: 2
Source: RefSeq, a predicted model, not a curated record
CCUAUUGAAUGGAGAAAGUGAGGAAGAAGAAGAAGAAGCAAACUUUACACUUCUCCAACGGAAAUAUUCUGUGAGGAACAGGUUAGGUUUGUUUUUGUUCUGCUAAGUUUAGGACGGUUCCCUCCUAAUUUUACUUUUUGAUAUGUACACUGGGAAGAACGUAAAAAUGGUAGAUUAUAGUGGUGUAUUCGAAACGAAAAAUAAAUAACUUGUUUCAAACAUGGCAUUGUACUAAUGUGCAAGAUCACAACUACCCACUGGACAAAAUAUUCUUGAGGUUAUCAACUGAGCCCAUUCGUCGGUUUAAAUUUGAAAUGGUUGAAUGCUAGUUAUAAACAUCAAUGUUGGCAAGAGCAAUGUGGAGAAAUGUAAGUAUUAUGAUUAAUACUUAUGAAUUAUUUGUUUGCCAGUGAGUAAAGGAUAAUGGACCACCUUCGUUGGGUAUGCUUUUAAUAUAAUUUCAGUUUUGGGAGUCCCACUCUAAUAUAUGAAUUCGAAAAGUAAGCAACUGAUGAUGGGACUUAUGAAUGGUUAUACAUUUAAAAAAUUUGAUUUUUAUCCAUUUUAGCUGAAGGAAGAAAUGGAUUACAAUCUGUAAUAAUUCUGCUAGUAUUAAAUCCAAUAAAACUGAAUUUGCUACUCGAUACUAAACGAAUAACAAGUUCAAGGAUUCACGAAGAUAGAAUCAUACAAUUAUUGAGCGACUUUUGAUGUUUGCUGAGAAAAUUAUAUUUUUCUUUGAUACACCUUCAUAAUGUUCCCUUUUGAUUCUUAUUAUUUUCUCGAUACAAUUUUGAGGCAAGUUCCUAUUCUGUACUGUGGAGUAUGAAUAGUCUGAGUCCAUCUCAAAUGCAAAGCAUUAAUGCAGGAAAAUAUACUUCGAAAAAUAGCUUAGGUAAAUUGUUAAAAAAAUUCAGACAUGACAAUAGUAUUGAAGCAGCAACCAUUACACUUGAAAUUCUUUUAUUGUUUUUACAAAUCUUAAUAGAUAUCUGAUGGGUAUAUUGGUAGGUAGUGAUAAAUCAUACUAUUUUCUAGAUUUAUUCUUUGGCACUUGAUUUUGGGUUUCUAUUCUAAAACCAUCAUCAGGCUGAAGAAUACAUAUCUCAUUAUGUAAGGUUUUUUUUAUAAAUGUGUGUGAACUGAUCUUCUCAAUAAGAGUAAUUUUUACUCACCGUAAAUAGAGGUAGUUUACCAUAUUUAAUGUCUAUUAUGUGUAUUCCUCAUUUUUAAAAAAUUCUUUUGUUCUCUAUUAAUGUUCAGGUGGAGAUGUCAAUUUUAUUUCUUAAGUGGAAAUUAGUUUUUUGAAAGUCAGUUAGGGUUGUCAGAUGUCAUUUGUCCAACAUCAUGGGAUGUAGUCAAGAAAAACCAAUAUCAAUAAAAACAUACUAUGGGAGCUGUCAUUACCAAAAUAUGAUGGGUAUAUUUAUCCACCUAGCUACUAUUCUUGAAAUCCUGUUAAGGAAAUUGGCAAUUAUUGUUUUGUCAACAUUUUUUACAUCAGGUAUAUUUGUUGGGAAAAGUAGACACUAUUUGAUAAUUUUAUAUACUUUAGUUAGUUUACAUAAUAAUGAAAACCUUUUUUUCAAAGAACAUUUUCCAACAUAAAAAUAUUGUUGGGGAAGUAUAUUACAAGACUCAAGUAACAAAAUGCAUACAAUAGUAUGAGGAUCGUUUGGAUAUAGGUAUCCAAAUUGAACAGUUGCAAAGUAGUUUGGUGAAAUAUGUCUCCGGUGUAAUCUUUGCAAGAGUUAGAUCCUGAAAUAUGCGUUCAUUUCAAUAACCUUAUAAUUCGUGAGCUCAAUACUACAAUUGGGUAACUUGAAAUAAGCAAUAUUUCAGGAGGAGCGUUUGAAGAUUCUGAAGGAAAAAAAAAGGGUUGUUAUAUAAAUUUCAGCUUUGUGUUAGGAUAUGUUGUGAAGAAUUAUUUGAAAUGAACUUUGGUAGUUGGAUCCACAUAAAAUCUUUUUGCUUUCUCAGAUUUUUUUCAUUUUGAACGAGAUAUCUAGUUUUAGUAAGCAAAAUGUAGAUUUGGAAUUGAGAUAUCAAGUUUCGAAACUAUAAGAAAGGAUGAAUAAGAAUUUCAUUUUUAUUG